UUAGAGAGGAAUCCUUUCCUGUGCUUGAGAAAUUACGACAGCGGGAUUGUCGUUAGCUUGAGGAGAUUCAGCCAAGUUUCGGGGAUAUUUGUUCAUUAAAAAGUAUCGAACUGAAGUGGAGCCCUCAACUUGUAGAAUCUGCUCUGAAGAUUAAGCAAGAUGUUGAAGAUAUGAUGGGGGAUAUUCAGGUCCUUGUUUAUAACUGAUCAAGUUUUGAGCAUUUUUACCUUGGGAAAAUAGGUGAGUACAGACGAAUUUAUUACCUCCUCAUUUUCAGUAUAAGUGGCAGAGUUUGACCAGUGUAAUUUUCUUUUGCAGAGUUUGACGAGUUGUUUGCAUAUCAUAUGUUACUGCUCAAGUCCAAAAACAUAUGAUGGAAUAAUUCUUUUGGAAGUUGAUUUGGAGGAUAGCAAGAAGUGAAACAAAAGGUGGGCAACCUCUGUACUAUAUGAAAGUUAUCUUAUACCUCAGAUUUUUCAAGUUUUUAUAUAUCUUUCAACAAAUACCUUCACAAUCAGCUCAUCGGCGCAUAGAGUUUUAGUUGUGAUGCAGGCUGGUGGAAUUCACACGCACCAAGAAUCAGCCCAUCGACGCAUUUGGAGUUGGAGGCUGCUGUAUCAUGAUCGAGAUGUGAAUUCAAUUUAAGUCAGAGUGUAUAUAAUAUAGGCAAGUACAGUGAUGAAGAAGUUGUGAAUACAAUGCCAUUCUCCUCAUCUCUUUCACCAAUCUUUCAAAUGCUACCCACUGAGGGCUCAAAUUUUUAAAAGCAGAAUAAUGGGUGUAAUGCCACUUCCAUUAUUACUAUUCAGCACUAUGUGGGAUUAUACUAGGUCAAAAUAAUUUGAAUUCCUUUAUUUUCCGUAAAGAAGAGGACGUGAUGAGGGUUAUAGUAUUAAGUUAUGACAAUUUAUGUGAUCCCUUAAAGUCGUGCUUGGUUCACCUUGCAUGUUUUCCGGAGGACGAAGUAAUUCCUGUCCGUAAUUUGGAAAUUUUAUGGCCUGCUGAAGGAUUUUUGGAGCAGAGAGAGAAGAAUAGUGUGGAAGAAGUGGUUGCGAUUUAUCUGGAUAAUUUAAUUUCCAGUAGCUUGGUAAUUUCUUUCGAUAAAAUAGGUGACAAUCGGACUUGCCAAAUUCAUGAUCUUGUGCAUGAGUUUUGUUUGAUAAAAGCAAGAGAGGAAAAGUUAUUUGACUUGAUAAGUUCAAGUGCUCCAUCAUCAUCUUCUUCAGAUUUGAUGCCACGUCAAAUGAACAUUGCAUAUAGUAAGUGGCAUAACAACAGGCAUUCUGGUAAACACCUUUAUUCUUUGAGGAUAACUGGACACAAGUUUGGUGACAAUAGUCUUAAUGAUAUAUGUCACCUAAGACACUUGAGGCUUCUUAGAGUGUUGCAACUGGAUGACUCUUCAAUUCUGUUGAGUGAUUCUUUGUUGAAUGAAAUAUGCAGACUGGUUCAUUUGAGAUACUUAGAGAUUCGCACAGAAGUUAAAUCUCUGCCUUCGUCGUUUUCAAAUCUCUUGAAUCUGGAAACUCUGUGGGUGAAUAAAUAUGGACCACCCAUGGUAUUAUUACCAACAAUUUGGAAUCUUAUAAAGUUGCGAGUGCUGGCUAUAUAUAAAUGUUUCUUCUUUGUUUUGUAUAAGAAUGAGUCAAUACUGGUUGCAGAGAACUCAAAGUCAGAGAGCUUGAGAUUAUUACGGGGACUCGAAGUUUCCUAUUCAAAAGACACGGAGGAUAUUUUCAAAAGGUUUCCCAAUCUUCACAAGCUUCGAUUUGAUCUCAAGGAAUCAUGGGAUUGUUCAACAGGGCGAUAUCGGUUCCCGAAAUUGGACUUCUUAAAUGAACUAGAAUCUCUCGAAGUAACUUUUAUAAGUUCAAAUUCAAAUGAUAGUGCGCUCUCUAUAGCGACAAAUCGGCUUUGGGAUUUUCAUUUCCCUUCGAGUGUAAAAAUGUUGUGUUUGCGUGAGUUUCCUCUGACAUCCGAUUCACUAUCAACAAUUGGAAUACUGUCCAACCUUGAAGAGCUGUACCUUAAAGACACAAUCAUCGAGGGGGAAGAAUGGAACAUGGGGGAGGAAGACACCUUCCAGAAUCUCAAAUGUUUGACAUUGCAGCGAGUGAAUCUUGCUAAGUGGGAGGUUAGAGAGGAAUCCUUUCCUGUGCUUGAGAAAUUACGACAGCGGGAUUGUCGUUAGCUUGAGGAGAUUCAGCCAAGUUUCGGGGAUAUUUGUUCAUUAAAAAGUAUCGAACUGAAGUGGAGCCCUCAACUUGUAGAAUCUGCUCUGAAGAUUAAGCAAGAUGUUGAAGAUAUGAUGGGGGAUAUUCAGGUCCUUGUUUAUAACUGAUCAAGUUUUGAGCAUUUUUACCUUGGGAAAAUAGGUGAGUACAGACGAAUUUAUUACCUCCUCAUUUUCAGUAUAAGUGGCAGAGUUUGACCAGUGUAAUUUUCUUUUGCAGAGUUUGACGAGUUGUUUGCAUAUCAUAUGUUACUGCUCAAGUCCAAAAACAUAUGAUGGAAUAAUUCUUUAGGAAGUUGAUUUGGAGGAUUGCAAGAAGUGAAACAAAAGGUGGGCAACCUCUGUACUAUAUGAAAGUUAUCUUAUAUCUCAGAUUUUUCAAGUUUUUAUAUAUCUUUCAACAAAUACCUUCACAAUCAGCUCAUCGGCGCAUAGAGUUUUAGUUGUGAUGCAGGCUGGUGGAAUUUGGACAAGAGGGGUUGCUCUGAUGGUAAGAAACCCCCACUUCCAACCGAGAGGUUGUGAGUUCGAGUCUCCGAAAGAGCAAGGUGGGAAGUUUCUUGGAGGGAAAGAUGCUGGGGGUCUAUUUGGAAACAGCCUCUCUACCCCAGGGUAGAGGUAAGGUCUGAGUACAUACUACCCUCCCCAGACCCCACUAUGUGGGAUUAUACUAGGUCAAAAUAAUUUGAAUUCCUUUAUUUUCCGAAAAGAAGAGGACAUGAUGAGGGUUAUAGCAUUAAGUUAUUACAAUUUACGUGAUCCCUUGAAGUCG
Molecule: long non-coding RNA, 3005 nt
Filed under: Nicotiana benthamiana
Lineage: Eukaryota; Viridiplantae; Streptophyta; Magnoliopsida; Solanales; Solanaceae
Description: long non-coding RNA (NBEN_LNC030836)
Source: RNAcentral